This 253-nucleotide ribosomal RNA is filed under the name uncultured bacterium. RNAcentral's name for it is "partial 16S ribosomal RNA". It matches the Rfam family "Bacterial small subunit ribosomal RNA", at positions 524 to 776 of the family's 1533-position model. The record is from RNAcentral.
GACGAACCGUGCGAACGUUGUUCGGAAUCACUGGGCUUAAAGGGCGCGUAGGCGGGCUCGCAAGUCAGGGGUGAAAGCCCGCGGCUCAACCGCGGAAGCGCCUUUGAUACUGCGGGCCUCGAGGGGGGUAGGGGCGUGCGGAACUUCCGGUGGAGCGGUGAAAUGCGUUGAUAUCGGAAGGAACGCCGGUGGCGAAAGCGCACUGCUGGACCUUUUCUGACGCUGAGGCGCGAAAGCCAGGGGAGCAAACGGG